Molecule: ribosomal RNA, 376 nt
Filed under: uncultured microorganism
Description: bacterial SSU rRNA
Rfam family: Archaeal small subunit ribosomal RNA
Source: RNAcentral
GUGCAGCAGUCGAGAAAUCUUUACAAUGUGCGAAAGCACGAUAAGGGAACUCUGAGUGCCUCCUAAGGAGGCUGUUCAGGUGUCUAAAAAGCACCUGAAGGAAGGGCUGGGUAAGACCGGUGCCAGCCGCCGCAGUAACACCGGCAGCCCAAGUGGUAGCCACGUUUAUUGGGUCUAAAGCGUCCGUAGCCGGCUGGGUAAGUCCUCCGUUAAAUCCAACGAUUCAAUCGUUGGGCUGCGGGGGAUACUGUCCAGCUUGGGGGCGGGAGAGGCCGACGGUAUUCCCGGGGUAGGGGUGAAAUCCUAUAAUCCCGGGAGGACCACCAGUGGCGAAGGCUGUCGGCUAGAACGCGCCCGACGGUGAGGGAUGAAAGCU